This 89-nucleotide small RNA is filed under the name Flavobacterium sp. S87F.05.LMB.W.Kidney.N. RNAcentral describes it as "Flavo-1 RNA". It matches the Rfam family "Flavo-1 RNA". Lineage: Bacteria; Pseudomonadati; Bacteroidota; Flavobacteriia; Flavobacteriales; Flavobacteriaceae. The record is from RNAcentral.
UUUUAGCCCCGAUAGCAGUGGAAAUCCUUUUGUGCCGGUCCCGAGGCUUCGGGAGGCGCAAAAGAUUGCAGCGGAUAGCGGGAAAAAGC